Molecule: long non-coding RNA, 640 nt
Organism: Chinchilla lanigera (long-tailed chinchilla)
Lineage: Eukaryota; Metazoa; Chordata; Mammalia; Rodentia; Chinchillidae
Exons: 2
Source: RefSeq, a predicted model, not a curated record
UCAGCAGGUAUCAGAACUUACAAAAUUAUUAAAAGCCAGAAUAUUCUAGACUUGUAGGAGCCACCCAGAACCUCCUGCUGUGCCGCUGCACGAGUCUAUGAACGCAGGAAGCUGUCGGCCGCAGGAUAACGCAGUCUCUGAGUCUUGCUCCAACUUAUGUGAGAGAAGCAGAGCCUCCAGGAACGACACGGCGUGGGAUUUAUUGUGGGCUCUGACCUUGCACAAUUGCUUAAAUGAAUGUCUGGCCCAGGAAUUGGAGAAGUUGGAGGAGGAAUGAACAGGAGCUGAAGGAGUUAUGGUCUUAGCUGCUGCCCCACACCCACAAGGUGGACCAGCAGAGGUGCCAAGCAAGAGCAGCAGCAGUGCCUGGUGAUCCUUACAGACCUGAGGCGAAGAGAACAUGGCUACCACCCAACCUGCAGGUGUCCUGCGAGGUCUGACUGCCAUGCUCAGGAUUAUGUGGAGAUGCAUAAAUGUCCCUCUUUUUAAGGACUACAUAAGAAAAUCUAUCAAGAAAAAAAGAAAGGGGAAAAAUAAAAACUGCUUAUUUUAAUGUUAAAUUAAUUGACCAAUACCACUACUUUUAUCAUAGUGGAAAUCUCAGUGCUAAAGAAAAUAAAUCAUUUUUGUUCCUCUAAAA